Panicum virgatum (switchgrass) is the source of this 1152-nucleotide long non-coding RNA. RefSeq lists it as uncharacterized. Lineage: Eukaryota; Viridiplantae; Streptophyta; Magnoliopsida; Poales; Poaceae. The record is from RefSeq and is a predicted model, not a curated record. The transcript is spliced from 3 exons.
CUGCGCCUGAGCUGAUGGUUCCAUUUGCCAACAAAUCACGUUUAUAAUUUGCUGAUGUUGCUUAGCUUUUGGGCUUAGAUUGAUGCUGGUGCGUUGCCAUUCGCGCCUAAUAAUUUGCUCUGCUUUGCAGGUUUAUGUUAAGAAUUUAUUUUUCCCGCAUUCUUCAUCUGCGUGCCUCAAGUGGAAAUCUCGAUCCAAAGCUAUUCUAACAGAACUCAAGAGUUUUGAUGCUGACCUCAUGUGUAUACAGGUGGUGCUCAAAAUAUAAUUGAAAGUUGCUUCUAAGGGAAAAUUAUCAGGCAUGGUUGACAUUAUGGGAUAAACCCAGCAGGGUUAUUGGUUAUUUGCAGAGAUUCAGCUAUAACAAUGGGGUUUAUUUACAAGAUACACUUUGUUCUGUAAAUUUGUCUCUCUUCCAAUGGUUCACUAUCUGAUUUUGAAAGCAUUAUUCAUAUAUUCUCAUGCGAUAGUUGUAGACCAAAUGAGCAGUGGUCGAAACGAGAUGCGGAUCUUAUUUUGUUCAUUCAUGAUUACAAAGUUCUUGCCAUGAUAAAGUUUGGGUGCUAGAUGGAGGUUUGCCUCAAUGGCGUGUUUCUGUGUAUGAUGUUGAAUCAAGCGCCUCCAGUGAUGCCAUCUUAAAGGCCAGUGCUGCUGGUGAAGCAAUUGAGAAAGUUUACCAGGGUCAAUCGGUUGGUCCAUUCACAUUUGAAGCAAAGUUGCAGACCCAUCUUAUUUGGAGCCAUGAUCAGGUCAGUGUUGAAAGGGUCCCAAACCUGCUUAUUGUUUUUCUUUGCGACUCCCUAAACUCUUUCUGCACAUUCCAUUGCAACUAAUAUAUGAUUUUCUCAGGUGAAAGAGAACAUCAAGACCCAGACACAUCAACUUAUAGAUGCUCGAUCAAAACCUAGGUAUCUUACUUGUAUUCUGAAAUUUGAAGUCUUGUAUGUUCUGUCCAAUUUCCAUGUAAUAAGUCACAUUGUUAAUUUUUACAAUCAUAUCAAGUGCCCAACCAGAGAGUAAUGGGCAGCUUGUUAUUAAGUUUGCUACAGAGAGAGGCUCAAAAGUAGGCUUAAUGUAUGAACUCUUUGUUUUAAUUUUAAUGUAUGAACUCUUUCAUUUAAUCUCGAUGUAUGAGCUCAUGUGAUUGAAUUU